AUUGAACGCUGGCGGCAGGCUUAACACAUGCAAGUCGAGCGGGGGAAGGUAGCUUGCUACUGGACCUAGCGGCGGACGGGUGAGUAAUGCUUAGGAAUCUGCCUAUUAGUGGGGACAACAUCUCGAAAGGGAUGCUAAUACCGCAUACGUACUACGGGAGAAAGCAGGGGAACUUCGGACCUUGUGCUAAUAGAUGAGCCUAAGUCGGUGUAGCGAGUUGGUAGGGUAAAGGCCUACCAAGGCGAAGAACUGUAGCGGGUCUGAGAGGAUGAUCCGCCACACUGGGACUGAGACACGGACCAGCGUCUUACGGGAUGCAGCAGUGGGGAAUUGUGGACAAUGGGCGAAAGCCUGAUCCAGCCAUUCCGCGUGAGUGAAGAAGGCCUUCGGGUUGUAAAGCUCUUUCGGCAGGAACGAAACGGCUCUUUCUAAUACAAGGAGUCAAUGACGGGACCUGAAGAAGAAGCACCGGCUAACUACGUGCCAGCAGCCGCCGUAA
RNAcentral lists this ribosomal RNA (499 nucleotides) under uncultured bacterium. Its description in RNAcentral is "partial 16S ribosomal RNA". It matches the Rfam family "Bacterial small subunit ribosomal RNA", at positions 30 to 523 of the family's 1533-position model. The record is from RNAcentral.